Molecule: long non-coding RNA, 8820 nt
Filed under: Homo sapiens (human)
Lineage: Eukaryota; Metazoa; Chordata; Mammalia; Primates; Hominidae
Description: HSALNT0293296
Source: RNAcentral
GCUCCGCCUCCCGGGUUCACGCCAUUCUCCUGCCUCAGCCUCCCAAGUAGCUGGGACUACAGGUGCCCGCCACUACGCCCGGCUAAUUUUUUGUAUUUUUAGUAGAGACGGGGUUUCACCGUUUUAGCCGGGAUGGUCUCGAUCUCCUGACCUCGUGAUCCGCCCGCCUCGGCCUCCCAAAGUGCUGGGAUUACAGGCGUGAGCCACCGCGCCCGGCCUCAUUUGUUAUGUUCUAUAAAACCCAUAGUUAUGUUCUAUAAAACAUUUGCCAUGGUUAUGUUCUAUAAAAUCAUCCCAAAUGCUAAAUUAGAGAAUAGUGAAUCACUGCCCCUAAGGGAAAUACAGUGUUAGGUUCCUGCCAGGCUCUGGUCACAUUUUCAUCAACUGGUCAAUACAUAACCUCUUCUAUGUGUAUUUCUGUUAAAGAUACCUUAAUAAUAUAUAUUGUUGAUUCACUGACAUUGAACUCAUAGCCAACAGAACUAUGACUCAUGCCUGAAUGAAGCUUACCUAACACCUGAAUUUUCUCUGUAAGGCACAUCACAGCCUUCUUGUGCUUAGCAACACUAGACAGCACUUUAGCACUAUGCUUAGAGGCCAUUUUAAAUAGUAAAGUCACCAAUAAAAAAAAAGCACAAAAAUACAAAAAUGUGGCACUAAAUGGACCAUGAAAAGGAGACUUGUUUAAAAGUAUGAGAGCUGAAACAUGAGGGCAGACCACUGACUUGUUCAACCUCAGCUAGUUCAUUUUUUGUGUGUGUAGAGAUGGUGGGAGGGGUUGCACUAUGUUGCCCAGGCUGGUCUUGAACUCCUGGCCUCAAGCAAUCCUUCUGCCUCAGCCUCCCAAGGUGGUGGGAUUACAGAUGUGAGCCUCUGUGCAAAGCUCAGCUAGUUCUUAAAUAUUUUGCCACUCUGAACAUGCGUAUGUCUAAAAAUGACCUUGAAAGCAUUUCAAGUAUUGCUUUUGGGGUUACAAAUACAUUUCGGUGAGUAGGCAAAUUCAUAAAUACAGAACUGACAAAUAAUGAGAAUCAACUGUAUAAUAAUAUCAUUACUGAGAAUCUUCUGCAUUAACCAUAAUCAGUUAAAAAAUUGUUUUUGAACAACGGUAACAUUAAUGAGUACACAGGCACCAAAGUUAAUACCUUUGAAGGGAUAUUUGUUAUAUAUAAAGCAAAUAGGGCAUGUGUGUAGGUGUAUUUCCCUCUUCCCUACUCCAGGAGCCCUUCACCUAGCUUACUUCUGCUUUGAGACUCACCCUGUAGAUGGGCUUCUGUGAAGCCCAAACUUGGGUUAGAUUCCCCGGACCUUGAGCUCCUACACUUCCCCCCAUAUCUCCACUGUAUUACACAUCACCUUACAUAACCAUCUGUGUGUUUAUGCCUCAUCCACUGGAUUGUAACCAGCGGGGUCCUGUUUUAUUUCUAGAACAAGGCGUUUACAAUAUAUUGCUGUUCAAUAAACUUUUACUGAAUGAAUGAAUCACAAAGAGAUGAGAAAUAACAAGAACCUAAAGUAGGAUGACUAUGAUAUAACCAGACCAACAGGUAGGAUUAAGUAGUAAGAAAUAGCAUCUGUAUAAUUUGCCCAUCAGCUGGAUGUAGAGAAGAGGAAGGAUUUCAGACUGCCCAUUUCUGGAUUGACAAAGGUGUGCACAGUUGUGCUACUAAUGAAAGUAUAGAAUAUAAGAAGAGUACUUUUUAAGUGUAAAGACAAGUUCUACUGUGAACAUUCCUGUAACCUUAUUAAUAACCCCUUCAUCUAUGCUACUUCAAUAGUUGGUAAGUUUUGCUGCAUAAGACUGCAUUCCUAGUUAUCUAUUUCUCUGGCUAACUACCUCAUUAAAAUGUAAGAUAAUAUAAGGUAAAUUUUAUUUAAUUUUUGACUCACCAAAAACCAACACAACAAUAUUCAUUUGAAUUGAACGUGGAUGAAGACAUCCAGGAGAUAUUCUGAACUGGAGCUUAGAAAUAUUAGUUGGAGACAAAUAUUUAGAAAGGAUCCUAAUGCAAGUGAUAUUUUAUAGUGUGAAGGAGGAACAAUUUUUGGAAAGAAUCAAAGACAGAACUUUGGGAUGACCAGCAUUUAAGGGGCACAUCAAUCAACAGGAGACAAUAAAAAAGACAGAAGGAACCAUCAGAGAUCAACCAGGUGAGAAUGCUACGGCAGACACUGCUGGUUACAUACCAAAGAACCAUUCAUAUCUUCUUUCUAGCUAACAGAUAUCUUCUCCCAGAAAUAGAGUAAUGAACUCAAGGAAGGUGAGAGCAUCCCCCAGUCUCUUGGGGAUGGCUCAGGGUUGAUUUAAAUCAAUCACAGUAGUAUUUCCUUUGCCAGUGAUUGUUUAAGGGCAGACAUGUGACAUGGUUCUAGCCAAUGAGAUGUAAGAGAGAUGUUCUGGGGAUUUUCCUCCCUAUAAGGAGAUAUCCACCAAGGAGAAACCCCAGCACUGCAUCCUGUUUUUGAAUAAUGAAAUUCUUACAAUCCUAAAGGUAGACGUCUAUGACACAGUGAAAACGGCAGAAUACAAAGACAGUAAGAGCCUAACUUGACAGUGUUGCAUCUCUAAAUCAAUCUUGGAACUACCUAUCAUUGGACUUAAGAGAUUCUCUUACUUGGAGCUGAAGGCAUCCUGACACCACUAGUGUCCAAAAACCAAAAGACAGAAGCUAUUUCAUGAGGGAUACAGAAAAGUAAAUAAAGAUGAUAGAAAAGUAUCUGUAAGAGUGAGAAUGAUUUUGGCUUCAGUAGUAAUAGUUAAUCCUGGUGAGCCCUCAAAAAAAUAUUAACCUAAAAACACAUGUAUCCUCAUUUAGUCUCUCAGAAUUCUAUGAGGUAGAUAGAAUUGUGACCAAUAAAAGCUAGAAUGUGGUAAAUUGAACAUUAAGAGGGAAAUGAAAAUGAAAUGGUAAAUUUAAAUAUUUCUAACAAGUUGUCUGAAGGAGAUAGACUUGUAAUAAGGAAAGGAUAAAAGAGGUUUUAAGAUAGUCCAGAGAAGAAGAAAACAAUAUAGAGGAGGAUAUUUAAAAACAUGUAAGACAUAUAAUAAAAGAAAUAAUUGCUUAAAUGACAUCUCAAAGAAGAUAAAAUUUGAUACGAUUUGAUACCAAGAGUACCAGUAGAUGAGACGUGAAUAAAAUUAGAGGUGGGCUCUGAGAGCAAAAGGAAGUAGACGACGACAAUUUAUAAAUUUGAAAGUAAAAGGACUAGGAAGACCAAGAAGUUCAUACACAGUAUCAAUACUCUGUUUAAAAAGAGAGGAGUGGGGGGACAUCCACUGCUAAGGAUUCAGAGUAAAGUAGGGUGUUUGAUAAGAAUGGUGGUAGUUCAGUAUGUCAAUUAUGGAAAAUAGGGAAGCAGCUGAUCAGAAACAAACAAUUACUAAAUCCCACUAAGGACCCAGCUGAAACCAGAAUGAAUGAACAUUCAUUUACUCACAAAUUUUUAUUAAGGACCUUUCAUAUGCCAAGGCACCUUUCUAGGUGCUAGGGAUACAGUAUGAACAAAAAUCCCUGCCUCAUUCUCUGUACAUUCUAGUAGGGGGAGAUACAAUAAAAAUUUUUAAAUACUGUAAGUUGUGUUAGACGGUGAUAAAAGCUAAGAAAAAUAAAGCAGAAAAUGUAAAUAAGGAGAUUCAAAAUUUAGAUAGGGUAGCCAGAAAUGAUUUCAGAGAAAAUGAUAUUAGCACUACAAUCUGAAAGGAAAGGAGGAAAGCUAUGCAUCCAUAUGGUAGAACUUAUUGGAUAGAGGGAAAUAUCAAACACCAAAGCCUAGAAGUGAGGGAAUGCAAGGCAUCUUUGAGGAACCGCAAGGUGGCUGAGUCAGAAUGAUAGAGAUGGUGAAGGGGUUGAAAGAUGGUCAGAGAAAUAACAGAUGCAAUACAGAGGCUUGUAGGCCACUAAAGACUUUGACUUACAUUCUGAGGGAAGAUACAAUGCCAUUGGAGAGUUUUACGCGAAUGAUAGGUCACUUUGAUUCUUAACAGCGUGGGAAAGACGGUGGGCAAGGGUGGAAGACCAAUAAGAACUGAUGGGCACAGUGGCUCAGACCUGUAAUCCCAGCACUUUGGAAUGCUGAGGCAGGAGGAUAGCUUGAGGCCACGAGUUUCAGACUAGCCUGGACAAUAUAACAAUACUCUGCCUCUACAAAAGAUAAAAAAUGUCAGCCAGAUAUGGUGGCACAUGCCUGUAACCCUAGCUACUCAGAAGGCCGAGGCAAGAUUGCUUGAGCACAGGAGUUUGAGGUUACAGUGAGCUCUGAUUAUACACUGCACUCAAGCCUGAGUGACCAAGUGAGACACUGUCUGGGGGGGGGGGGAAAUACACACACACACAUAUAUAUAUAAUGUAUGCAUAUAUAUUAUGUAUAUAUAUAAUGUAUGCAUAUAUAUUAUGUAUAUAUAUAAAAUCUUUAUGUAUAUAUAUGUACAUAUAUAAAAUAUAUAUACAUAUAUACAUAUGGCUUAGGGUGCCAAAGACUAAACAAACUCAAAAAAGGUUAAAGAAUUUGGCAAGGUCACUGAAGUAGCAAUAUACAUAUAUAUUCAGGUGGUUUGGACCAUGAUGUAGCAGUGGAGGUGAUGAGAAGUGGUGAACUUCUGGAUAUAUCUUAAAGGUAGAGUCAACAGGAUUUCCUGGUGAAUCAAACAGGGAAUGUGAGGAAAAACCAAUAAGGACACCAAGGUUUUUCAACUUCAGCAAACACAGAACAGACUUGCUACUUACUAAAAUAGAGAGGGGAGAAGGGAGAAACUGAGGAGUUCAAUAUUGGACAUAUAAAAUAAAGAUGCAUGGGGCCAGGCACAGUGGCUCAAACUCAGCACUUUGGGAGGCCAAGGCAGAAGGACUGCUUGAGGCCAGGAGUUUGAGACCAGCCUAGGCAACAUAGCGAGACCCCCAUCUCUACAAAAAAUUUAAAAAUUAGCCAGGUGUGCUGAUGCAUGCCUGUAGUCCUAGCUACUCAGGAGGCUGAGGCAGGGGGAUCACUUGAGCCCAAGAGCUCAAGGCUGCAGUGAGCUAAGAUUGCACCACUGCACUUCAGUUUGGGCGACAGAGAUCCUGUCUCUUAAAAGAGAAAAAUUUGGGAAGAGUGUAGGUGAUAUUUGAAACCAUGAGACUAGAGGAAAUUACUAGAAUCAUAGAUAGGGUAAAAGGGCACAAGGAUUGAGUCCUAGCACUCACAAAUGCAGUAGUAAGAAUAACUAUUACUAGGAAAGUGGGGCCUCUCCCUCACCCCUGAGAUGAAUCCUAAUUAUUCUAAGCCAGUAUGACACUUGAUAGAGUAAGCCUGUGACUCAACUCUGGUCAGGACAAGGUUAAUAAGAUUGGCAGUUGUGGCAGGGGUGGAGGGUAGGGACACUGGUAGCAGAAACUUUCCCCUUCCAUUUAACAAUCAUGACUGCAUGACACCUGGAACUGUGGCAACCAUUAUGCAAUCAUUAGGGGAGUAAAGUCAAGAAGCUGAGGGUGGUAGAAGGCAAAGAUGAAAAAAACAUGGGUACCUCAUAAAUUGUUGAGCUGCUCAUCAACCAGCCUUAGAGCCACUCUACCCCUGGAUUUUUUAUUAUUUAAGCCAUUUAAUAAGGGUUUUCAUUACUUGUGGUCAAAAGUAUCUGGAUACAAUAAUCUCAUUUAAUUUUCAAAACAAUGCUUAGGGUGACAAGGAGUAAACAAACUCAAAAAAGGUUAAAGAAUUUGGCAAGGUCACUGAAGUAGCAAAUGGUGAUUUGAAGUUCAUCCGACUCCAAAGUCAAUUUGAACUGAUUAAGAGUUGUUGAUUUAAAGAAUGGACACAACUAAAAGACAAAGGGGAGUGGGAGUUGAGAAUUACUGACGUGAAUGGCAAAGAAGGAAAGCCAGCAAGUAAGAGAUGGAAAGAAAAGAGAAGUGUCAAGAGACUAGAGGAACGGAAGAAGUACAUUAGGAAACAAACUGACAAGAGGUCAUCUUGAGGAGAAUAUCAGACUUGAAGAUUUUUAUUGUUUGAGUUGUCUGGAUGAAGACUAGAUGCAGGCUGUGGCCAUAAGUAGUGAGGAAAUUGCAUUUCGAGUAGUUAAGGAUUAAUGUAGUAAUAUUUACUACAUGGCACACAUUAUUUUAUGCACUUAGGAUUCAGUGGUAUGUGAUCUGAGAUGAAGUUCCCGGGCUGUAACCUGGCCAGAAGCUUGAAGUCUUUACCCCAAGAUAUAAACAGAGCACAAGAAUCAGGCUGACAAUUGGGAUGACAAUGACUCACAUUCACUAGCUUGUUUCAAAUAAUUUAACAUACACUAGGAAAUUAAAUGUUUAAUGAAUGAAUGAUCUAUCUGAUCAUUCAGCUUCUCCCAUUCUGACUCUUCAAACCAUUGCUUAAUUAGCUACAGGAUAUUAUUGGUUAGACUGAUACAAAUAAUUGUCUGAAAACAAUAGGGAGUCUCUGCAAAGUGAUCCAUGGUUUCAAUCCACCUUCACUCACUAGCAUGCUCAAGACAAGACGAUUCUUCUUCCUCUUGUACCUAAGAAGCAGAAAACCUCCAACCCAAACACCGAUGCUUCAUAUAGAAGACAGUUCACAAAAUAAAGAGCACUGGAUUAGAAAUCUAGUCUUGGCUCUGCAAUUAAUCUUGGCACUUUGUAGAAGGCACUCAGCAAUCUGUGUUAUGGUUUCCUCCAAUAUAAAAUGAAACAAAUGGGCGAGAUUACCUUCAAGGUCUUUCCAAGACUGAUAUUCUAAGAAAAGUUUGUGUGAAACUACCCUUCAGUGCCAUCUGGCCUCAAAGGCCCUCCACAUUCAUAAUCAUAUGUAGCUUUGUAGGAAAAUGAUAAGUGGAAUAAAGAAUUCAACUUGAUAUUUAUUAAACUUUUACCAACAUAAAAGCAUACUGGGCAAACCAAAGAAUAAGACGCGGUCCUUGACAAGCCCUCUUUUAUACAGAGGAGGGGAAAAGGGAGAAGACAAAAUUUCUGUAUUCAUAACAUUUACUACAAUCUAGCCAGGGAAACAAAAUUUAAUUCACUUUAAUUCCUCAAAUAUUAAAUAUGUUUUGUGUAAAAGGGUAGUUUUCAAAUCUUGAUGAGUAGAAUCAACUAUGAUGCUUUCUGGAAAAAAAAAGAAAGAAAGAAAGAAAGAAAUAUAGAUUCCCCAAAACAUGAUUCAGUAGGUCCACGUACGGCUAAAAAGCACUCUUGAUGAUGCUGGUGACCUUUUGUUAAGAAACUCUGCCUUAGUCUAGCUAACAAAAAGUUUGAGUUAGUCCAGUUAAAAGAAAAACUUUCAAUUGAUUCAUGAAUAGGACAGACCCCAAUUGAAAGUAGUUCAAUGACUUAGGGCUGAAGGGAUAAGGAGGAUUUUCACAGGAUGAAUGCAGAAACAAGGCAAAGAAAACAUUUGAUUAAAGUGGAGCAACAGCCUGAUUUGGACCAUUCCAGUGAAAAGUCCCUAGUUAAAGGUUAAUUGGCAGUUUCUGAUUGGUUAAGACAGUUUACAUUGAAUUAGGUUUCAGUUUGCUUAUGUAGGAACACAGGGCACUGGAGGUACCCCAGUCUAAUCACUUCCCAUUUAAUUAUUUUAACAGUUUAAAAAAAGCUGUUUCUAGACCCUGAAUUCAUCUCAAGACUAUAUACCCAUAACUAGAAACAAACUGCAAGCCAUUAAAAAUAAGCAAAAGUCGGCCAGAGCUUGUACACUUGUGUAUUUCAGUGGUUCUCAAGUGUGUCUGCACUUUAGGAUUAACCUGUGGGGAAAAGCAAGAGAGAUCAGAUUGUUACUGUGUCUGUGUAGAAAGAAGUAGACAUAGGAGACUCCAUUUUGUUCUGUACUAAGAAAAAUUCUUCUGCCUUGAGAUUCUGUUAAUCUAUAACCUUACCCCCAACCCUGUGCUCUCUGAAACAUGUGCUGUGUCAACUCAGAGUUAAAUGGAUUAAGGGCGGUGCAAGAUGAGCUUUGUUAAACAGAUGCUUGAAGGCAGCACUCUCCUUAAGAGUCAUCACCACUCCCUAAUCUCAAGUACCCAGGGACACAAAAACUGUGGAAGGCCGCAGGGACCUCUGCCUACGAAAGCCAGGUAUUGUCCAAGGUUUCUCCCCAUGUGAUAGUCUGAAAUAUGGCCUCGUGGGAAGGGAAAGACCUGACCGCCCCCAAGCCCGACACCCGUAAAGGGUCUGUGCUGAGGAGGAUUAGUAUAAGAGGAAGGCAUGCCUCUUGCAGUUGAGACAAGAGGAAGGCAUCUGUCUCCUGCCCAUCCCUGGGCAAUGGAAUGUCUCGGUAUAAAACCCGAUUGUAUGUUCCAUCUACUGAGAUAGGGAAAAACCGCCUUAGGGCUGGAGGUGGGACCUGCGGGCAGCAAUACUGCUUUGUAAAGCAUUGAGAUGUUUAUGUGUAUGCAUAUCUAAAUGCACAGCACUUAAUCCUUUACCUUGUCUAUGAUGCAAAGACCUUUGUUCACGUGUCUGCUGACCCUCUCCCCACAAUUGUCUUGUGACCCUGACACAUCCCCCUCUUCGAGAAACACCCACGAAUGAUCAAUAAAUACUAAGGGAACUCAGAGGCUGGCGGGAUCCUCCAUAUGCUGAACGCUGGUUCAGCAUACUUUGUCUUUGUGUCUUUUUCUUUCCUAAGUCUCUCGUUCCACCUUACGAGAAACACCCACAGGUGUGGAGGGGCAACCCACCCCUACAUUAACCCAGGAAGCUUUUACGGAUUCACAUAUAGUCCAAUUAAAUCAGUUUCUGGGAGUAGGAGUUAGGGCUAACCUUUCUUUCUUUCUUUCGUUUUUGAGACAGAAUCUCGCUGUGUCACCCAGGAUGGAGUACAGUGGUGCGAUCUCAGCUCACUGCAACCUCC